RNAcentral lists this ribosomal RNA (839 nucleotides) under Agroathelia rolfsii. RNAcentral's name for it is "partial large subunit ribosomal RNA". It matches the Rfam family "Eukaryotic large subunit ribosomal RNA", at positions 84 to 913 of the family's 3401-position model. The record is from RNAcentral. Lineage: Eukaryota; Fungi; Basidiomycota; Agaricomycetes; Amylocorticiales; Amylocorticiaceae.
UAACUGCGAGUGAAGCGGGAAAAGCUCAAAUUUAAAAUCUGGUAGUCUCUGGCUGCCCGAGUUGUAAUCUGGAGAAGUGUUUUCUGUGCUGGGCCGUGUACAAGUCUCUUGGAAUAGAGCGUCAUAGAGGGUGAGAAUCCCGUCUUUGACACGGACAUCCAGUGCUCUGUGAUGCACUCUCAAAGAGUCGAGUUGUUUGGGAAUGCAGCUCAAAAUGGGUGGUAAAUUCCAUCUAAAGCUAAAUAUUGGCAAGAGACCGAUAGCGAACAAGUACCGUGAGGGAAAGAUGAAAAGAACUUUGGAAAGAGAGUUAAACAGUACGUGAAAUUGUUGAAAGGGAAACGCUUGAAGUCAGUCGCGUCUAGCAAGGAUCAGCCUUUCUCGGAAGGUGUAUUUCUUGCUUGACGGGUCAACAUCAAUUUUGAUUACUGGAAAAAGGCCAGAGGAAGGUGGCACCUUCGGGUGUGUUAUAGCCUUUGGUCAUAUACAGUAGUUGGGAUUGAGGAAUUCAGCAUGCCUUCAUGGCUGGGGUUCGCCCACAUUCAUGCUUAGGAUGUUGGCAUAAUGGCUUUAAGCGACCCGUCUUGAAACACGGACCAAGGAGUCUAACAUACCUGCGAGUGUUUGGGUGUAAAAACCCGAGCGCGUAAUGAAAGUGAAAGUUGAGACCCUUUUAAGGGGCAUCGACGCCCGGACCAGACCUUCUGUGACGGAUCUGCGGUAGAGCAUGUAUGUUGGGACCCGAAAGAUGGUGAACUAUGCCUGAAUAGGGUGAAGCCAGAGGAAACUCUGGUGGAGGCUCGUAGCGAUUCUGACGUGCAAAUCGAUCGUCGAAUUUG